This 768-nucleotide ribosomal RNA is filed under the name uncultured archaeon. RNAcentral describes it as "bacterial SSU rRNA". It matches the Rfam family "Archaeal small subunit ribosomal RNA", at positions 5 to 775 of the family's 1478-position model. The record is from RNAcentral.
CGGUUGAUCCUGCCGGAGGUUGCGGCUAUGGGAGUCCGAUUUAGCCAUGCAAGUUCUGGGGUCCUUCGGGACACCGGCAAAAUGCUCAGUAACACGUCAAUAAUCUGCCCUUAGAUUUGGGAUAGCCUUGGGAAACUGAGGGUAAUACCGGAUAUUGAAUAUUAACUGGAAUGUUAUAUUCUAUAAAGCUUCGGCGUCUAAGGAUGAGUUGGCGGCUGAUUAGGUUGUUGGUGGGGUAAUGGCCCACCAAGCCUAAGAUCAGUAGAGGCCUUGAGAGAGGGAGCCUCGAGAAGGGCACUGAGACACUGGCCCUAGCCCUACGGGGUGCGGCAGGCACGAAAACUUUACAAUGCACGAAAGUGUGAUAAGGGGACUCCUAGUGCCCAUGCUAAGCAUGGGCUUUUGCCAUGAGUAAAAAUUAUGGCGAAUAAGUGGUGGGCAAGACUGGUGCCAGCAGCCGCGGUAACACCAGCGCCACAAGUCGGAAUCGCAAUUAUUGGGCCUAAAGCGUCCGUAGCCGGUUAAGUAAAUCUUUUGUGAAAUCGUCGGGCUCAACUCGACGGCGUGCAGAAGAGACUGCUUAACUAGGGACCGGGAGGAGUCAGAAGUAUUCCGGGGGGAGCGGUAAAAUGCUAUAAUCCUCGGAAGACUACCUGUGGCGAANGCGUCUGACCAGAACGGAUCCGACGGUGAGGGACGAAAGCCAGGGGAGCGAAACGGAUUANAUACCCGCGUAGUCCUGGNCGUAAACGCUGCGAGCUAGGUGUU